RNAcentral lists this ribosomal RNA (298 nucleotides) under uncultured bacterium. RNAcentral's name for it is "partial 16S ribosomal RNA". It matches the Rfam family "Bacterial small subunit ribosomal RNA", at positions 475 to 776 of the family's 1533-position model. The record is from RNAcentral.
CUAUGCGCCUUGCCAGCCCGCUCAGGUGUGCCAGCCGCCGCGGUAAUACGUAGGUGGCAAGCGUUGUCCGGAUUUACUGGGUGUAAAGGGCGUGCAGCCGGGAAGACAAGUCAGAUGUGAAAUCCCGCGGCUCAACCGCGGAACUGCAUUUGAAACUGUUUUCUUGAGUACCGGAGAGGUCAUCGGAAUUCCUUGUGUAGCGGUGAAAUGCGUAGAUAUAAGGAAGAACACCAGUGGCGAAGGCGGAUGACUGGACGGCAACUGACGGUGAGGCGCGAAAGCGUGGGGAGCAAACAGG